GACAGAGGAUGCAAGCGUUAUCCGGAAUGAUUGGGCGUAAAGCGUCUGUAGGUGGCUUUUUAAGUCCGCCGUCAAAUCCCAGGGCUCAACCCUGGACAGGCGGUGGAAACUACCAAGCUGGAGUACGGUAGGGGCAGAGGGAAUUUCUGGUGGAGCGGUGAAAUGCGUAGAGAUCGGAAAGAACCCCAAUGGCGAAAGCACUUUACUGGCUAUCACUGACACUGAGAGACGAAAGCUAGGGUAGCAAAUGG
RNAcentral lists this ribosomal RNA (251 nucleotides) under uncultured bacterium. Its description in RNAcentral is "partial 16S ribosomal RNA". It matches the Rfam family "Bacterial small subunit ribosomal RNA", at positions 524 to 775 of the family's 1533-position model. The record is from RNAcentral.